This 391-nucleotide long non-coding RNA is filed under the name Vigna radiata. RNAcentral's name for it is "long non-coding RNA (VRAD_LNC009292)". The record is from RNAcentral. Lineage: Eukaryota; Viridiplantae; Streptophyta; Magnoliopsida; Fabales; Fabaceae.
GGUUGGCAAAGGUCGUAAGCCAUUUUCUGCUAGAACAGGGAGGUUGUCUUGUCUAUUUGUUAAUAAUCAUACUGGAGACUAAUCUAAAUAUCACUUUAAUAAAUUUUCAAAAGCUCAAGUUUAAGUUAGAUUGUGAAGAUUUAAUAAAAUAUGGCUAAUAAUACAAUGUACACAACACUAUGAUGGAGGGAUGAUAUAAUCAUAGUCAUUUGUGCUAUAUUGUUAAACUCGGUGAUUAAAAGGAGAUUUCCAUAUAGAACACAAGGUAACUAAAACAAGAAAAAAUUGUAAUAAAAAAGAAAAAGUCUUUUAUCAAAUGUUACACUUUUCAAAAUCUUUCUAUUAAAUCACAUUUUUCAGAACUUGUUGUUAGAUUGCAUUUUUCAAAUUC